UUUAUUAUCAGCCAAAGGUGUUUGGCCCAGUGGAAAGGGGCUAGGCUUGUAAGAUCAAGCCCCUUUAUUCCCUUUUCAUUCUUUUUCCUUUUAUUUGCCAUUUUAUUUUAUUUUCUUCAUUUUAUUUAUUUCUAUUCCAUUUCCAUUUCUUUUCUUUUCUUGAUUAUUCAUUUUAACCAAAUAUGUCAUCAAGUAUAUUUCACCAAAUAUUUUAUUUUUCUUUUAAUCAUUUUAUUUUUUAUCAUUUUAUUAAAC
RNAcentral lists this long non-coding RNA (255 nucleotides) under Lathyrus oleraceus (garden pea). Its description in RNAcentral is "Pisum sativum (pea) long non-coding RNA (PSAT_LNC006363)". Lineage: Eukaryota; Viridiplantae; Streptophyta; Magnoliopsida; Fabales; Fabaceae. The record is from RNAcentral.